UACAGAGGGUGCGAGCGUUAAUCGGAAUUACUGGGCGUAAAGCGUGCGUAGACGGCUAUCUAAGUCGGGUGUGAAAGCCCCGGGCUCAACCUGGGAAUUGCAUUCGAGACUGAAUAGCUAGGGUACGGUAGAGGGAAGUGGAAUUUCCGGUGUAGCGGUGAAAUGCGUAGAUAUCGGGAGGAACACCAGUGGCGAAGGCGGCCUUCUGGACCAAUACUGACGCUCAUGCACGAAAGCGUGGGGAGCAAACAGG
This 253-nucleotide ribosomal RNA is filed under the name uncultured bacterium. Its description in RNAcentral is "partial 16S ribosomal RNA". It matches the Rfam family "Bacterial small subunit ribosomal RNA", at positions 524 to 776 of the family's 1533-position model. The record is from RNAcentral.